GCGCCCGUAGCUCAGCUGGAUAGAGCACUGGACUUCGAAUCCAUAGGCCGGGGGUUCGAAUCCCUCCGGGCGUGCCA
This 77-nucleotide transfer RNA is filed under the name Desulfobacter sp. Its description in RNAcentral is "tRNA-Arg". It matches the Rfam family "tRNA". Rfam says of the family: Transfer RNA (tRNA) molecules are approximately 80 nucleotides in length. Their secondary structure includes four short double-helical elements and three loops (D, anti-codon, and T loops). Lineage: Bacteria; Pseudomonadati; Thermodesulfobacteriota; Desulfobacteria; Desulfobacterales; Desulfobacteraceae. The record is from RNAcentral.